AAAAAAACUAGGAUUAGAUACCCUAUUAUUUAAAAUGUAAAUAUAAAUAUUAAAGUAGUAAUAGUUAUGUUCUUGAAACUUAAAAAAUUUGGCGGUAUUUUAGUCUAUCCAGAGGAACCUGUUUUGUAAUCGAUAAUCCACGAUGGACCUUACUUAAAUUUGUAAUCAGUUUAUAUACCGUCGUUAUCAGAAUAUUUUAUAAGAAUAAUAAUAUUCAAUAAUUUUAAUAAAAAUUUAUAUCAGAUCAAGGUGUAGCUUAUAUUUAAGUAAUAAUGGGUUACAAUAAAAUUAUUUAUACGGAUAAAAUUAUGAAAAAGUUUUUGAAGGUGGAUUUGGUAGUAAAAUUAUAAAGAUAAAUAAUUUGAUUUUAGCUCUAAAAUAUGUACACAUCGCCCGUCGCUCUUAUUAUUAAGGU
Molecule: ribosomal RNA, 415 nt
Filed under: Drosophila persimilis
Lineage: Eukaryota; Metazoa; Arthropoda; Insecta; Diptera; Drosophilidae
Also listed under: 1 other name
Description: partial 12S small ribosomal RNA
Source: RNAcentral